RNAcentral lists this ribosomal RNA (441 nucleotides) under uncultured bacterium. RNAcentral describes it as "partial 16S ribosomal RNA". It matches the Rfam family "Bacterial small subunit ribosomal RNA", at positions 339 to 795 of the family's 1533-position model. The record is from RNAcentral.
CUACGGGUCGCUGCAGUAAGGAAUCUUCCGCAAUGGGCGAAAGCCUGACGGAGCGACACCGCGUGGUGGAUGAAGGCCUAUGGGUCGUAAACACCUUUUCUAUGGGAAGAAGAUCUGACGGUACCAUAGGAAUAAGGACCGGCUAAUUACGUGCCAGCAGCCGCGGUAAUACGUAAGGUCCAAGCGUUAUCCGGAAUUAUUGGGCGUAAAGCGUCCGCAGGUGGUUGUGAAAGUCAGUUAUUAAAUACCGGUGCUCAACAUCGGUGCUGUAAUUGAAACUUCAUAGCUAGAGGAUGGUAGAGGUAUAUGGAAUUGUGCAAGUAGGGGUAAAAUCCGUAGAUAUGCACAGGAACACCAAAAGCGAAGGCAGUAUACUGGACCAUUCCUGACACUCAUGGACGAAAGCGUGGGGAGCAAAAGGGAUUAGAUACCCGGGUAGUC